RNAcentral lists this ribosomal RNA (371 nucleotides) under uncultured organism. RNAcentral's name for it is "bacterial SSU rRNA". It matches the Rfam family "Bacterial small subunit ribosomal RNA", at positions 527 to 896 of the family's 1533-position model. The record is from RNAcentral.
CAGAGGGGCAAGCGUUGUUCGGAAUUACUGGGCGUAAAGGGCGCGUAGGCGGCGUGCUAAGUCGAACGUGAAAUCCCCGGGCUCAACCCGGGAACUGCGUCCGAGACUGGCAUGCUUGAAUCCGGGAGAGGGAUGUGGAAUUCCAGGUGUAGCGGUGAAAUGCGUAGAUAUCUGGAGGAACAUCGGUGGCGAAGGCGGCAUCCUGGACCGGUAUUGACGCUGAGGCGCGAAAGCCAGGGGAGCAAACGGGAUUAGAUACCCCGGUAGUCCUGGCCCUAAACGAUGAAUACUUGGUGUGGCGGGUAUCGAUCCCUGCCGUGCCGAAGCUAACGCAUUAAGUAUUCCGCCUGGGGAGUACGGUCGCAAGGCUG